UGUUAGUGGAACGGUCUGGAAAGUCCGACGGUACAGGGUGAUAGUCCCGUACACCAAAAUGCACAGGCUGUGAACUCGAAGAGUAGGGCGGGACACGUGGUAUCCUGUCUGAAUAUGGGGGGACCAUCCUCCAAGGCUAAAUACUCCUGACUGACCGAUAGUGAACCAGUACCGUGAGGGAAAGGCGAAAAGAACCCCGGCGAGGGGAGUGAAAAAGAACCUGAAACCGUGUACGUACAAGCAGUGGGAGCACCUUCGGGUGUGACUGCGUACCUUUUGUAUAAUGGGUCAGCGACUUAUAUUCUGUAGCAAGGUUAACCGUAUAGGGGAGCCGCAGGGAAACCGAGUCUUAACUGGGCGUUAAGUUGCAGGGUAUAGACCCGAAACCCGGUGAUCUAGCCAUGGGCAGGUUGAAGGUUGGGUAACACUAACUGGAGGACCGAACCGACUAAUGUUGAAAAAUUAGCGGAUGACUUGUGGCUGGGGGUGAAAGGCCAAUCAAACCGGGAGAUAGCUGGUUCUCCCCGAAAGCU
Molecule: ribosomal RNA, 533 nt
Filed under: Klebsiella pneumoniae
Lineage: Bacteria; Pseudomonadati; Pseudomonadota; Gammaproteobacteria; Enterobacterales; Enterobacteriaceae
Description: partial 23S ribosomal RNA
Rfam family: Bacterial large subunit ribosomal RNA
Source: RNAcentral